AGAAAGAUUAAGGGUCUGGCAAAGAGCAAUGUAAUGGCCCAACUCGAGGGGCGGCAACAAGUGUCACAGGGAAACCUGUGCCUGUGUUUAUCUGUCUGUGUCUGUGUGACGUAAGAAUUUACCUGGAGUCUGAUCAUUGGGGUGCAUUGAGGUAAUUAGUCCACGCAGGUGUGGUGAUUUAGGGGUGAUGGGCCAAGUAGCAUUUGAGUAGUCACGAGUCACUGGUGUGGGGUGUAGUGAGUGAGAGGGUGUCUGCACGUUCUGCGAACACUGUGGAUGAGAGAUAGGCACGGCGCAUAGUGGAGCCAGUUUUGGGUUGGUGACGGCUAAAGUUUUUGGACGCUUGACCCGAAUGGACGUUGCUGGUGAUUGAACCAUUGCAAAGCAGUGACAACGCCUGUUCAUUCAUCGCAGGGGUGCGGCUUACACUCUGCCAACGAAGGAGUGUCGUCCUGGUAUCCUGUCCUGUCAAACGUGAGCCGGCCACCGCUACGAACCAGCCUGCUGUGGGAAUACUAACACGCCUGACUAUUCACCUCGGGGGUGCGGUUUACAUAAGCCGCCCUCUGCCCAGUUAAGUGCCGCUUUCCUCUUUAUUACUGAAUCAGAAGAGCCAGCGUCUGGUGGCUUCUUGGAUUUAGAAUUGUAUUACAGCUACGAUCGCCCAGUUAAAGUGCUGAGUCUGGACACUUAAAGCCCUGUGUGUGCUGUGAUGGGAUUACCUCUGCGUGAUACUUUGAUGGACUUCAUUGUUCUCGUGUGAUAGGCUACUUGGAUAUAUUCUUCAUAGACUCUUACACUCGUGUGCUGAUUUGAUGGACUUUGAUAUUAUUUGGCCUUUGUUGUUGGCGUGGCAUCCUCUCACCUGUGUGUAGCUAUUAAUUGCCGACAGAGAACAUUGUUUCAUCCACUGAGCUGCAUAUGUGUCGAAUUCUGCGCCCUAUACUCCCAUUUGUCUCUCUCUCUCUUCUCUCGUCAGCGGAUCUUUGCUAUUGGCCCGUCUGUUGUCUGCCUGCGGCUCACCCGCCCCUAGCUGUCAGUCACGAACCAAGGCCCGCCCCUGCCCUCCUGCAAGUCAGCGCGUGUGUGCGCAGCCGGCUCUGAUUGCCUCUCCUGCUCCAUCCACUUGAACUGUGCAGUGCCACCAUUGCCACUCAUCCAGUCAUUUCCAUACCUUGGAUUGUGGAUUUUAUCACGAAUAGACUGAGUAUUUUUAAAUAAGAAUUGACUGUUGUUUCAAUAAAACAAAAAAAUAAAUAUCUAUCUUUUCUAAAGGCUA
Molecule: long non-coding RNA, 1279 nt
Organism: Alosa sapidissima (American shad)
Lineage: Eukaryota; Metazoa; Chordata; Actinopteri; Clupeiformes; Clupeidae
Exons: 2
Source: RefSeq, a predicted model, not a curated record